Molecule: non-coding RNA, 77 nt
Organism: Podarcis lilfordi (Lilford's wall lizard)
Lineage: Eukaryota; Metazoa; Chordata; Lepidosauria; Squamata; Lacertidae
Source: the annotation of a GenBank genome assembly
UCAAGGGAUAGCUCAGUUGGUAGAGCAUGAAACUUUUAAUCUCAAAGUCAUGGGUUCGAGCCCUGAAUUGGGCAAAA